UAGUCCACGCCGUAAACGAUGUUUGCUAGUUGUCGGAGGCUUAAGUCUUCGGUGACGCAGGGAAACCAUUAAGCAAACCGCCUGGGGAGUACGGCCGCAAGGUUAAAACUCAAAGGAAUUGACGGGGACCCGCACAAGCGGUGGAGCAUGUUGUUUAAUUCGAAGCAACGCGAAGAACCUUACCCACACUUAACUAUCCUCUUGGGACUUUCAGAGAUGAUUGUCUUCGGUUCGGCCGGGGAGUGAAUAGGUGCUGCAUGGCUGUCGUCAGCUCGUGUCGUGAGAUGUUCGGUUAAGUCCGGUAACGAGCGCAACCCUUAUUGAUAGUUGCCAUCAUUCAGUUGGGCACUCUAUUGAGACUGCCGGUGACGAGCCGGAGGGAAGGCGGGGACGACGU
RNAcentral lists this ribosomal RNA (397 nucleotides) under uncultured bacterium. RNAcentral describes it as "bacterial SSU rRNA". It matches the Rfam family "Bacterial small subunit ribosomal RNA", at positions 791 to 1185 of the family's 1533-position model. The record is from RNAcentral.